GAGGGUGAUCGGCCACACUGGGACUGAAACACGGCCCAAAAUCCUACGGGAGGCAGCAGUAGGGAAUCUUUCGCAAUGGACGAAAGUCUGACGGAACAACGCCCCGUGAACGAAAAAGGCCUUCGGGUCGUAAAGUUCUGUUGUUAGGGAAAAACAAGUACCAAAGUAACUGCUGGUACCUUGACGGUACCUAACCAGAAAGCCACGGCUAACUACGUGCCAGCAGCCGCGGUAAUACGUAGGUGGCAAGCGUUGUCCGGAAUUAUUGGGCGUAAAGCGCGCGCAGGUGGUUCCUUAAGUCUGAUGUGAAAGCCCACGGCUCAACCGUGGAGGGUCAUUGGAAACUGGGGAACUUGAGUGCAAAAAAAGAAAGUGGAAUUCCAAGUGUAGCGGUGAAAUGCGUAGAGAUUUGGAGGAACACCAGUGGCGAAGGCGACUUUCUGGUCUGUAACUGACACUGAGGCGCGAAAGCGUGGGGAGCAAACAGGAUUAGAUACCCUGGUAGUCCACGCCGUAAACGAUGAGUGCUAAGUGUUAGAGGGUUUCCGCCCUUUUAGUGCUGCAGCUAACGCAUUAAGCACUCCGCCUGGGGGAGUACCGGCCGCAAGGCUGAAACUCAAAGGAAUUGACGGGGGCCCGCACAAGCCGGUGGAGCAUGUGGUUUAAUUCGAAGCAACGCGAAGAACCUUACCAGGUUCUUGACAUCCUCUGACAACCCUAGAGAUAGGGCGUUCCCCUUCGGGGGACAGAGUGACAGGUGGUGCAUGGUUGUCGUCAGCUCGUGUNGUGAGAUGUUGGGU
This 800-nucleotide ribosomal RNA is filed under the name Bacillus sp. (in: firmicutes). RNAcentral's name for it is "bacterial SSU rRNA". It matches the Rfam family "Bacterial small subunit ribosomal RNA", at positions 296 to 1080 of the family's 1533-position model. The record is from RNAcentral. Lineage: Bacteria; Bacillati; Bacillota; Bacilli; Caryophanales; Bacillaceae.